This 418-nucleotide long non-coding RNA is filed under the name Trifolium pratense (red clover). Its description in RNAcentral is "long non-coding RNA (TPRA_LNC009738)". The record is from RNAcentral. Lineage: Eukaryota; Viridiplantae; Streptophyta; Magnoliopsida; Fabales; Fabaceae.
GAUAUUAUAUAACUAGGUGCACCUAGACCGUUAUCCUCGUUAUCGGUUACUUGAUUGAAAUCAUUAUUCUCAAAACAUAUUUAUCAAAAUCCACGUUUCACGAGAUAUUGAAAUUUAUGUAACAAUACCACAAUCAAACCUCAUUUUCAAUUCAUUUGCUCAACAAGUCAUGGAUAAGUCCAAAUAGAGUAUAGUUAAUUUGAUGACAUGGAAAUUAUAUAACAAUGACGAGAAAAUGUUCAAAGGGUGUGUUCCCCAAUUUUAUAAAUACUUUAACAUAGAAAAUAAGUAACAUAAAAUUGAUAAUAGUAGUUAAAAUAAGUAGUAAUGAUUAUCAUCAACUCACAACUAUGACGAAUCAACUUCGUUCCUAACAAUGCCUUCCGGAAUGAUCACCGAAGCAAUUUCCACCGAAUCU